UUCUCUUUACAUGAACUCUUUCGGAUGAGCCCAAUGGGACCCCCUAUAUCCUUGAAUUCAAACGCCGUCGAGUCGAGCCUCAUUAAAGUCCAAACUUGGACUGAUAUACACAGGAUAGCACAAACAUACAAGCUGCUAUAUGCUGAUAUACAGCAUGUAUACAGGGAAAACAGUAGCUUCACAUUAUCACGCUAUUUAUGAUGGAAAGUGGAG
This 213-nucleotide long non-coding RNA is filed under the name Capsicum annuum. Its description in RNAcentral is "long non-coding RNA (CANN_LNC020466)". Lineage: Eukaryota; Viridiplantae; Streptophyta; Magnoliopsida; Solanales; Solanaceae. The record is from RNAcentral.